Molecule: ribosomal RNA, 391 nt
Filed under: uncultured bacterium
Lineage: Bacteria
Description: bacterial SSU rRNA
Rfam family: Bacterial small subunit ribosomal RNA
Source: RNAcentral
GACGAACGCUGGCGGCGUGCUUAACACAUGCAAGUCGAGCGGUAAGGCCCUUUCGGGGGUACGACGAGCGGCGAACGGGUGAGUAACACGUGGGUGACCUGCCCUUAGCUCUGGGAUAAGCCUGGGAAACUGGGUCUAAUACCGGAUAUGACUCCAUGACGCAUGUUGUGGGGUGGAAAGCCUUGUGCGGCUAGGGAUGGGCCCGCAGCCUAUCAGCUUGUUGGUGGGGUGAUGGCCUACCAAGGCGACGACGGGUAGCCGGCCUGAGAGGGCGACCGGCCACACUGGGACUGAGACACGGCCCAGACUCCUACGGGAGGCAGCAGUGGGGAAUCUUGCGCAAUGGGCGAAAGCCUGACGCAGCGACGCCGCGUGGGGAUGACGGCCUCGU